Molecule: ribosomal RNA, 383 nt
Filed under: uncultured eukaryote
Lineage: Eukaryota
Description: SSU rRNA
Rfam family: Eukaryotic small subunit ribosomal RNA
Source: RNAcentral
AGCUCCAAUAGCGUAUAUUAAAGUUGUUGCAGUUAAAAAGCUUGCAGUUGGAUUUCUGGCAGGAGCGAUCGGUCACACACUCUGUGUGUGAACUUGUGUUGUCUCUGGCCAUCCUUGGGGAGAUCCUGUUUGGCAUUAAGUUGUCGGGCAGGGGAUACCCAUCGUUUACUGUGAAAUGUUAGAGUGUUUAAAGCAGGCUUAUGCCGUUGAAUAUAUUAGCAUGGAAUAAUAAGAUAGGACUUUGGAACUAUUUUGUUGGUUUGCGUUACAAAGUAAUGAUUAAUAGUGACAGUUGGGGGUAUUCGUAUUUUGUUGCCAGAGGUGAAAUUCUUGGAUUUCCGAAAGACGAACUACUGCGAAAGUAUUUACCAAGGAUGUUUUCA